CUCCACCUCCUCUACUCCUAAUUGUUUUCUGGCAGUCACAGCGCCUCGGUGUCCUCGCCACCCCCUGGACCUCCGACUGACACAAACACAACACAUCGCUCUCCACGAGAGACUCAUUUCACCAGACUGAAGCCCUUCAGGAACAACCACAGCAAAUAAAACCAUUUCAACCUGUAUUUCAUUUUUUUUAAUAAUAACAACAAUACACUGUUUGAUUGACCUGCCAAACAAAUACAUAUUGAUGAAAACUGCUGCAGAAGACCAUCCCGUUCCCCAACGCAAAGGAAGUUUUCAGUGCAGCAUUAUUUACAGCCGGAACACAAAACUUAUAGCAUGAAUUUUAAAUGAGUGCCCACAUUUAACCGAUACUUCUGCACGCUUCUUCAUGAAAUCACACUGCAUUCAAGAGGGAAGCCCUUGUUCCUUUCCAAUAGCCAUUAACAAAGGUAAAAGCGACGUGCCAUGUACACAAUAUUAGACCCACCAGAGCAACUCGACUGGUAAAAAUAAAGCAACCAAAUCACCGCAGCCCACCAGUACUUUUUCUUACUUAAGUCACUGCACCAGUAACACGGCAUCACAUGACUUUACCCAUCUAAACAACUAGCAAAAAUAGACUACAACACAAACUGUGUCCAGUUAAGAAUUACAAUUUGUUGAUCCGAAAUAUUCCAUCACACCACUCAAAUAUUUUCAUUGCUAGAUAGUCGGGGUACAUUAUAUCAUAAACCAAAGCAAAGGCAUAAGAUGUACUAAACAAGUCAAAGUUACCUACCAACUGCAGUCUUCGCUUUAAACUUUCCCUCACGCUCUCCAGAAUGCGCUCCCUCUCCUUCCUCCAGCCUUUCCUCCACUUCUCUCCCAAUUCACUUAGUGUAUUCACUGUAAACUUCUGCUCUCCUCCUGCAUGCAAAUCAUUUUUACGACUUGAGAGAUGACUGGGAAUGAGGGAAGGAGGAAGAGCGAUAGGGAGAAAGGAUGACAGAGGGGUGGAGGAGUGGAGAUAAUGGUUGGAAGGCAGGCGACCAAUGGGCCGGGAGCCUAAUGGAAAAGGGGAAUCAGGACACACCAAUGAGGCGCAGCCUGGAGAGAGAGAGAGAGAGAGAGAGAGCAGGAGGGAGAGGGGGAGAGAAAGAGAGAGAGAGAGCGUGGAGGAAACGGGCGAGGGAAGCAGGGAUGGCGAGAGCACAGUCGGGAGGAGACGCUUUAACGCAGAAAGACACUGAGGCAGAGAGAGAGCAAUAGAGAGAUAGAGGGUGUGCACGGUAUGUGGAGGGAGGCGAGCAUCCCGAGCAAGAUGGAGAGAGUGCACAUCAGAGAGGAGGCAGGGGAGAAAAGAAACGCACAAAGAGAGAGAGAACAGGGGAGGCAGAGAGAGGAGGGAAUGAAAGAAGGAAAGAAACUGACUUACCCGGCUACUGGCAUCCUUCACACGCCCGCCUCGCAGACUCCGCACACACACAUAUGCACACGCACCCACCCGGCGAUACAGGCACACGCCGCGCCGCCGCCGAGACUAACCAAAAGCAAAACAACAAAGGAGAAGACUGCCAAAGCCGACUGAUACGGGAGAAAGAUGCGGAGGAAAUAGAAGUCUCUGCACGUCCCCUCACUAGACGUCACUUUCUGUCAACCACAUGGCUUUCAACCAGCGGCACACCCCGAACACGAGGAGACUCCCGAACAAGUUCCAUAAUGUUCAACAGGACGUUUCUGAAUGAUUUGAUAAACACAAUCCUAGCUGGGACAUGGUCUUCGUAUAUGAAAUUGAUCCAAUGUUUCCCCUUACCAAUGCAUGGUGCCGGCACUCCCGCCCGUUUUACAAUUAUCCACCGAUCUCAGUUCCGUCCCGAAGUGCCUCCGUCAACCGGAACGCACCCACACUUUGGUUUGUCGGCGUAAGCAGUCACCCCCUUCCUAAAGCUGUAACCCUGAAGGAAACAAUCCAUUUUGGUCUUGGGCCUGGAAGGCAAUGGAGACAGUGUUAGGGGAUGGAGGGAGGGCCAAAGCGAUGUAAGGCAGACUCCAACUUUGUCUGAUGAUGUCGUCAAACCCCGGAACUGCCAAACGAUUAUUUUUAAUAGUAUUAAUUGAUUACAGGAAUCAUUAAAAAACGCACAAGUGUUUUUUUCCCAGCGUUUGGGGGAUUCUAGACACACCAGACCUAUCAAAGGGGAACUAUUAUAAUAUGUACUCUUGACCUGAGAUAUCCCUCUAAACGUCCCCCAACCCUAAAAUCUAUAUAGGAGACCCACGCGCAGGGCAAUGGAAGGUAUCACUAACUGUUCCCAUGACAGCUGAGGAACCUUGGCCUGAUGGUGAAGACUGUGUAUUUUAAAGAAGUGAGUGAGCUGCCUCUGAUAGCAACUUACCUGCACAUUAUCUCAAAAUAAAACUGUGUGUUAUUAUGGAGGAGCCUAACUAAAGUGAAUAACUUCUUCAAAUCUGGUAUGAAAGCAUACUUGAACUAUUUUCAGGCUUUUUUUUUUUAAGUGAACCGCUGCCUCAAGCUCCAAACCUGCAAAACAAGUGUGCGUUGCCCAGUACAAACCUGCUCUGGAGAAAAGUUCUCCCUCACGGUUCCAGUGUUACUUUCACGCAGACACGGGAGCUGUGCACUCAUACUGUGCACUGUGAUGCAUUUGUACAUUUACAUUUUUUACUUUGGGGUUUUUGCAAAAGAGUGUGAAAGAAAAUAAGGAAGGCCCACAGCUGUGGGAGGGAGGGAGGGAGCAUGCGAGAGGGAUGCUGUUGAGGUUAGAGGUGUCGAUGGUGGACGAGCGCUGGAGCCAGGCAGCUGAAGCAGGAGGAAAAAGAGAAUCAGCACGUUUUGGGACUGUAGACAAUAACGUGGGAGAAGGCGAGGGCUUGUUGUUCAGUGGG
Long non-coding RNA from Gasterosteus aculeatus aculeatus (three-spined stickleback), 2883 nucleotides. The record is from Ensembl. Lineage: Eukaryota; Metazoa; Chordata; Actinopteri; Perciformes; Gasterosteidae.